UCCUCUAUGUCACCUGUUGCUGCCUUUAAAGGGGAUAGAAGAAGCGAACGUGAUUUGUCAAUACUGAAGCUGCUGAUUCUGAAUUCCUCCUGCUGAUGUUGUAUUCAGGGUCCUGUCUUCCACGUUCCACCAGCUGUGCCCGUUUUGCUCCGAUGCCUGCGGUCACCAAAACUGCAGAAAUGUGCAGCAGCUGCCAGUGUUUUCCAGUCGGUUGCCCUUCCGACACCCGCCAGUGCAUUUCUGUCCACAUCCCGGCUGACUCCAGUUCCAGCUCCUCCGUUGGCAUCCUGGCCGACCAGCCCCGGUGUUUCUUUGUUGGCGACCUGGCCGACUAACCCUGGUGCUUUAGUAUGUUCCGUGUUCGUCCAUGUUCUCCCAUGAUGCCACCCUGUGUUUCCCGCCUGCAUCAUCUCCAGUGUCUCCUAGUGUCCCCAUGCAUGUAGUCUGCCGUACUGUUGCUCUUCGUCCUCCUCAGUGACUGAGAGAAGGACAGAAAAAUGGAGGAGAGAAUGAAUGUUCAUACGUAUUUCAGACAUCCAGAGGAGAAGAAAAGGUUUUUAGGGAAAGAAAAUCUGCCACAUUUCUCUGUCCAUCCUGGGGGUCCUCAGUGAGAGACUGACAAACAGGGCAGACUCCCAGAAGGACAAGAGAAAAAUGAAUGAAUGAAUGAAUUCAUGAAAAGUGGUAAUCAUUAUUUAAUGCCACAGAUUUUUACAAAUGUGUACAGAUUUGACAGCAAAUUGUCUUGCAUUUUCUGAGAUUAAAAGUAAAUCAAAAUUUGAAAUAAA
This is a long non-coding RNA of Acanthopagrus latus (yellowfin seabream), 788 nucleotides long. RefSeq lists it as uncharacterized. Lineage: Eukaryota; Metazoa; Chordata; Actinopteri; Spariformes; Sparidae. The transcript has 3 exons. The record is from RefSeq and is a predicted model, not a curated record.